CCUACGGGAGACAGCAGUGGGGAAUAUUGGACCAUGGGGGGAACCCUGAUCCAGCGACGCCGCGUGAGUGAAGAAGUAUUUCGGUAUGUAAAGCUCUAUCAGCAGGGAAGAAAGAAAUGACGGUACCUGACUAAGAAGCCCCGGCUAACUACGUGCCAGCAGCCGCGGUAAUACGUAGGGGGCAAGCGUUAUCCGGAUUUACUGGGUGUAAAGGGAGCGUAGACGGCGAUGCAAGUCUGAAGUGAAAGGCGGGGGCCCAACCCCCGGACUGCUUUGGAAACUGUAUGGCUGGAGUGCAGGGGAGGUAAGUGGAAUUCCUAGGGUAGCGGUGAAAUGCGUAGAUAUUAGGAGGAACACCAGUGGCGAAGGCGACUUACUGGACUGUAACUGACGUUGAGGCUCGAAAGCGUGGGGAGCAAACAGGAUUAGAUACCCCAGUAGUC
RNAcentral lists this ribosomal RNA (443 nucleotides) under uncultured bacterium. Its description in RNAcentral is "partial 16S ribosomal RNA". It matches the Rfam family "Bacterial small subunit ribosomal RNA", at positions 338 to 795 of the family's 1533-position model. The record is from RNAcentral.